UUGGAGGGCAAGUCUGGUGCCAGCAGCCGCGGUAAUUCCAGCUCCAAUAGCGUAUAUUAAAGUUGUUGCAGUUAAAAAGCUCGUAGUUGAAUUUCGGGAUCGAUGGGUCGGUCAUGCCCUCGGUAUGUACUGGUCUCAUUGGUUCUCACCUUCUAAGGAACCAUGAUGUCAUUCGGUUGAUGUUGUGGGGAAUUAGGACUGUUACCUUGAAAAAAUUAGAGUGUUUAAAGCAGGCCAACGCUUGAAUACAUUAGCAUGGAAUAAUGAAAUAGGACAUCCGAUUCUAUUUUGUUGGUUUCUAGGAUCGAUGUAAUGAUUAAUAGGGAUAGUUGGG
RNAcentral lists this small RNA (334 nucleotides) under uncultured Septoglomus. RNAcentral's name for it is "SSU rRNA". It matches the Rfam family "Eukaryotic small subunit ribosomal RNA", at positions 548 to 886 of the family's 1831-position model. Lineage: Eukaryota; Fungi; Glomeromycota; Glomeromycetes; Glomerales; Glomeraceae. The record is from RNAcentral.